This 318-nucleotide ribosomal RNA is filed under the name uncultured eukaryote. RNAcentral describes it as "partial 18S ribosomal RNA". It matches the Rfam family "Eukaryotic small subunit ribosomal RNA", at positions 1470 to 1796 of the family's 1831-position model. The record is from RNAcentral.
CCCUUAGAUGUCCUGGGCCGCACGCGUGCUACACUGACGCAUACAGCGAGCACUUUCCAGUUCCGAGAGGCUACUGGUAAUCAUCAAUAUGCGUCGUGAUGGGGAUAGAUCUUUGGAAUUCUGGAUCUUGAACGAGGAAUGCCUAGUAAUCGCAGGUCAUUAGCCUGCGAUGAUUAAGUCCCUGCCCUUUGUACACACCGCCCGUCGCUACUACCGAUUUCGAGUGGUCAGGUGAAUCUUUCGGACUGUGGGCGCCCUUGAGGUGUUCGCGGAAAGUCAGGUAAAUCUUAUCACUUAGAGGAAGUAAAAGUCGUNACA